Molecule: ribosomal RNA, 293 nt
Filed under: uncultured bacterium
Lineage: Bacteria
Description: partial 16S ribosomal RNA
Source: RNAcentral
GGACUACCGGGGUAUCUAAUCCUGUUUGCUCCCCACGCUUUCGCCCAUCAGCGUCAGUACUGGCCCAGAGUGCCGCCUUCGCCACCGGUGUUCUUCCUGAUAUCUAUGCAUUUCACCGCUACACCAGGAGUUCCGCACUCCCCUACCAGACUCAAGCCAUGGCAGUAUCGGGUGGCGUCCCCAGGUUGAGCCUGGGGUUUUCACACCCGACUUACCGAGCCGCCUACGGGCCCUUUACGCCCAAUAAAUCCGGACAACGCUCGGACCCUACGUGUUACCGCGGCGGCUGGCAC